This 451-nucleotide ribosomal RNA is filed under the name uncultured bacterium. Its description in RNAcentral is "partial 16S ribosomal RNA". It matches the Rfam family "Bacterial small subunit ribosomal RNA", at positions 29 to 523 of the family's 1533-position model. The record is from RNAcentral.
AACGAACGCUGGCGGCAGGCUUAACACAUGCAAGUCGAACGGGCGUAGCAAUACGUCAGUGGCAGACGGGUGAGUAACACGUGGGAAUAUCCCUUUCAGCUCGGAAUAACUCAGGGAAACUUGAGCUAAUACCGAAUACGUCCUUCGGGAGAAAGAUUUAUCACUGAGAGAUUAGCCCGCGUCUGAUUAGCUAGUUGGUGAGGUAAUGGCUCACCAAGGCGACGAUCAGUAGCUGGUCUGAGAGGAUGAUCAGCCACACUGGGACUGAGACACGGCCCAGACUCCUACGGGAGGCAGCAGUGGGGAAUAUUGGACAAUGGGGGCAACCCUGAUCCAGCCAUGCCGCGUGAGUGAUGAAGGCCUUAGGGUUGUAAAGCUCUUUUGCUAGGGAAGAUAAUGACUGUACCUAAAGAAUAAGCCCCGGCUAACUUCGUGCCAGCAGCCGCCGUAA